This 253-nucleotide ribosomal RNA is filed under the name uncultured bacterium. RNAcentral describes it as "partial 16S ribosomal RNA". It matches the Rfam family "Bacterial small subunit ribosomal RNA", at positions 524 to 776 of the family's 1533-position model. The record is from RNAcentral.
UACGUAGGGUGCGAGCGUUGUCCGGAUUUAUUGGGCGUAAAGAGCUCGUAGGCGGUUUGUCGCGUCGGCCGUGAAAUCUCCACGCUUAACGUGGAGCGUGCGGUCGAUACGGGCAGACUUGAGUUCGGUAGGGGAGACUGGAAUUCCUGGUGUAGCGGUGAAAUGCGCAGAUAUCAGGAGGAACACCGGUGGCGAAGGCGGGUCUCUGGGCCGAUACUGACGCUGAGACGCGAAAGCGUGGGGAGCAAACAGG